AAGUGGCAGACGGGUGAGUAACGCGUGGAAACCUGCCCUGUGGUAGGGAAUAACCGCGGGAAACUGCGGCUAAUACCCUAUGUGUCCUGAGGGACAAAGAUUUAUCGCCAUAGGAGGGGCCCGCGUCGGAUUAGGUAGUUGGUGGGGUAACGGCCUACCAAGCCAUCGAUCCGUAGCUGGUCUGAGAGGAUGAUCAGCCACACUGGGACUGAGAUACGGCCCAGACUCCUACGGGAGGCAGCAGUGGGGAAUAUUGGACAAUGGGGGCAACCCUGAUCCAGCAAUGCCGCGUGGAUGAUGAAGGCCUUCGGGUUGUAAAGUCCUUUCGGCGGGGAAGAUGAUGACGGUACCCGCAGAAGAAGCCCCGGCUAACUUCGUGCCAGCAGCCGCGGUAAUACGAAGGGGGCUAGCGUUGUUCGGAAUUACUGGGCGUAAAGGGCGCGUAGGCUGUGCUGUAAGUCAGGCGUGAAAGGCCCGGGCUCAACCUGGGAACUGCGCAUGA
Molecule: ribosomal RNA, 502 nt
Filed under: uncultured bacterium
Lineage: Bacteria
Description: bacterial SSU rRNA
Rfam family: Bacterial small subunit ribosomal RNA
Source: RNAcentral